AGCGGCGGACGGGUGAGUAAUGCCUAGGAAUCUGCCUGGUAGUGGGGGAUAACGUUCCGAAAGGAACGCUAAUACCGCAUACGUCCUACGGGAGAAAGCAGGGGAUCUUCGGGCCUUGCGCUAUCAGAUGAGCCUAGGUCGGAUUAGCUAGUUGGUGAGGUAAUGGCUCACCAAGGCGACGAUCCGUAACUGGUCUGAGAGGAUGAUCAGUCACACUGGAACUGAGACACGGUCCAGACUCCUACGGGAGGCAGCAGUGGGGAAUAUUGGACAAUGGGCGAAAGCCUGAUCCAGCCAUGCCGCGUGUGUGAAGAAGGUCUUCGGAUUGUAAAGCACUUUAAGUUGGGAGGAAGGGCAGUAAGUUAAUACCUUGCUGUUUUGACGUUACCGACAGAAUAAGCACCGGCUAACUUCGUGCCAGCAGCCGCGGUAAUACGAAGGGUGCAAGCGUUAAUCGGAAUUACUGGGCGUAAAGCGCGCGUAGGUGGUUCGUUAAGUUGGAUGUGAAAGCCCCGGGCUCAACCUGGGAACUGCAUCCAAAACUGGCGAGCUAGAGUACGGUAGAGGGUGGUGGAAUUUCCUGUGUAGCGGUGAAAUGCGUAGAUAUAGGAAGGAACACCAGUGGCGAAGGCGACCACCUGGACUGAUACUGACACUGAGGUGCGAAAGCGUGGGGAGCAAACA
This 684-nucleotide ribosomal RNA is filed under the name uncultured Pseudomonas sp. RNAcentral describes it as "bacterial SSU rRNA". It matches the Rfam family "Bacterial small subunit ribosomal RNA", at positions 94 to 774 of the family's 1533-position model. The record is from RNAcentral. Lineage: Bacteria; Pseudomonadati; Pseudomonadota; Gammaproteobacteria; Pseudomonadales; Pseudomonadaceae.